Molecule: long non-coding RNA, 305 nt
Organism: Solanum dulcamara
Lineage: Eukaryota; Viridiplantae; Streptophyta; Magnoliopsida; Solanales; Solanaceae
Exons: 2
Source: RefSeq, a predicted model, not a curated record
CCCAAGUGUUGAGAGAGUUUGACUGUGAACUUGGGAUCACUGUAGAAGACCGCAGAACUGCAGUCUAACUUGUGGAUUCGCUUAUGCUCACGCUUCAAGAGUUGAGAAACCUAUGUUGGAAAAUAAGGUAAACUUCUGUUUCACCUUUUGCAAAAACAUUAGUUUGAAUUUCUUUCUUUUCAGUUUCUUGUAAAAAGUAUUUGUUUGAUGUAUUCUUAUAAAAAACCAUGUAAGGGUAAUUUCUUUUAAUUGUUUUUUGUAUGUAAUUUUCAUACAUAAUGAAAGAGUUAGAUUCGCAUCACUAA